CAUCCGCCGCGGUAAUACAGAGGGUGCGAGCGUUAAUCGGAUUUACUGGGCGUAAAGCGUGCGUAGGCGGCUUUUUAAGUCGGAUGUGAAAUCCCUGAGCUUAACUUAGGAAUUGCAUUCGAUACUGGGAAGCUAGAGUAUGGGAGAGGAUGGUAGAAUUCCAGGUGUAGCGGUGAAAUGCGUAGAGAUCUGGAGGAAUACCGAUGGCGAAGGCAGCCAUCUGGCCUAAUACUGACGCUGAGGUACGAAAGCAUGGGGAGCAAACAGGAUUAGAUACCCCAGUAGUCCCUGUCUCUUAUAC
RNAcentral lists this ribosomal RNA (301 nucleotides) under uncultured bacterium. RNAcentral describes it as "partial 16S ribosomal RNA". It matches the Rfam family "Bacterial small subunit ribosomal RNA", at positions 509 to 807 of the family's 1533-position model. The record is from RNAcentral.